AGGGGGUUUGAUCCUGGGCUCAGGAUGAACGCUGGCGGCGUGCUUAACACAUGCAAGUCGAACGUGAAACCCGGUACUUGUAUUGGGGAGUAAAGUGGCGAACGGGUGAGUAACACGUUGGUGACCUGCCUUAAGGUGGGGGACAACCGUGGGAAACCACGGCUAAUACCCCAGAUGUUUAUGGUGUUAGAGGCCAUAAACUAAAGCCCCCGUAAGGGGGUGCCUUUAGAGGGACCUGCGGGCUAUCAGCUAGUUGGUGGGGUAAUGGCCUACCAAGGCAAAGACGGCUAGGGGGCGUGAGAGCGCGACCCCCCACAAUGGAACUGAGACACGGUCCAUACUCCUACGGGAGGCAGCAGUGAGGAAUAUUGCACAAUGGGGGAAACCCUGAUGCAGCAACGCCGCGUGAACGAAGAAGGCCUCCGGGUCGUAAAGUUCUUUUCUGAGGGAAGAUAGUGACGGUACCUCAGGAAUAAGUCCCGGCUAACUACGUGCCAGCAGCCGCGGUAAGACGUAGGGGCGAGCGUUAUCCGGAUUUAUUGGGCGUAAAGCGCGCGUAGGCGGCUAGGUAAGUUGGACGUGAAAGCUCCCGGCUCAACUGGGAGAGGUCGUUCAAAACUGUCUGGCUUGAGGAUAGGAGAGGAGAGUAGAAUUCCCGGUGUAGUGGUGGAAUGCGUAGAUAUCGGGAGGAAUACCAGUGGCGAAGGCGGCUCUCUGGCCUAUGCCUGACGCUGAGGUGCGAAAGCGUGGGUAGCGAACGGGAUUAGAUACCCCGGUAGUCCACGCUGUAAACGAUGGAU
RNAcentral lists this ribosomal RNA (800 nucleotides) under uncultured Chloroflexota bacterium. RNAcentral describes it as "bacterial SSU rRNA". It matches the Rfam family "Bacterial small subunit ribosomal RNA", at positions 1 to 814 of the family's 1533-position model. Lineage: Bacteria; Bacillati; Chloroflexota. The record is from RNAcentral.